Molecule: small nuclear RNA, 164 nt
Filed under: Choloepus hoffmanni (Hoffmann's two-fingered sloth)
Lineage: Eukaryota; Metazoa; Chordata; Mammalia; Pilosa; Megalonychidae
Description: U1 spliceosomal RNA (ENSCHOG00000014880.1)
Rfam family: U1 spliceosomal RNA
About the family: U1 is a small nuclear RNA (snRNA) component of the spliceosome (involved in pre-mRNA splicing). Its 5' end forms complementary base pairs with the 5' splice junction, thus defining the 5' donor site of an intron.
Source: RNAcentral
AUACUUACCUGGCAGUGGAGACACCAUAAUCACAAAGGUGGUUUUCCCAGGGCAAGGUUUAUCCAUUGCACUCUGGGUGUGCUGACCCCUGAGAUUUCCCCAAACAUGGGAAACUCAACUGCAUAAUUUGUGGUAGUGGGGGACUGCGUUUGUGCUCUCCCCUG